RNAcentral lists this ribosomal RNA (228 nucleotides) under uncultured fungus. RNAcentral's name for it is "partial 18S ribosomal RNA". It matches the Rfam family "Eukaryotic small subunit ribosomal RNA", at positions 40 to 274 of the family's 1831-position model. The record is from RNAcentral. Lineage: Eukaryota; Fungi.
AAGAUUAAGCCAUGCAUGUCUAAGUAUAAACAUUUGUACUGUGAAACUGCGGACGGCUCAUUAAAUCAGUUAUAGUUUAUUUGAUAGUAACUACUACUUGGAUAACCGUGGUAAUUCUAGAGCUAAUACAUGCACUGAAAUCCCGACUUCUGGAAGGGAUGUAUUUAUUAGAUAAAAAUCAAUGUCUUCGGACUCUUUGAUGAUUCAUAAUAACUUUUCGAAUCGCAU